Molecule: transfer RNA, 72 nt
Filed under: Camelus bactrianus (Bactrian camel)
Lineage: Eukaryota; Metazoa; Chordata; Mammalia; Artiodactyla; Camelidae
Also listed under: 2 other names
Rfam family: tRNA
About the family: Transfer RNA (tRNA) molecules are approximately 80 nucleotides in length. Their secondary structure includes four short double-helical elements and three loops (D, anti-codon, and T loops).
Source: Rfam by way of RNAcentral
UGAGGUAUAGCUCAGUGGUAGAGUGUUUGCCUAGCAUGUAUGAGGUCCUGGGUUCAAUCCCCAGUACCUCCA